This 253-nucleotide ribosomal RNA is filed under the name uncultured bacterium. RNAcentral describes it as "partial 16S ribosomal RNA". It matches the Rfam family "Bacterial small subunit ribosomal RNA", at positions 524 to 776 of the family's 1533-position model. The record is from RNAcentral.
UACGUAGGGUGCGAGCGUUAAUCGGAAUUACUGGGCGUAAAGCGUGCGCAGGCGGUUUUAUAAGCCAGAUGUGAAAGCCCCGGGCUCAACCUGGGAAUGGCAUUUGGGACUGUAAGGCUGGAGUAUGGCAGAGGAGACUAGAAUUCCUGGUGUAGCAGUGAAAUGCGUAGAUAUCAGGAGGAAUACCGAUGGCGAAGGCAGGUCUCUGGGCCGGUACUGACGCUGAGGAGCGAAAGCGUGGGUAGCAAACAGG